ACGCCAUGGACGCGCCGGAAAACCCGGGAGUGCUCGGGAUGGCGCCAGCUGGGAGUAGCUGACAGUUGGCUGGGUUUGGGCUUGUUCUGGAACAACCAUGUCGCCGUCUUUCCACGUUCCAGACGCACAGCGCUAUCCACGCAGAGGUGCUAUCUGAGUUCUCCGUGGAUGUGGCCGAGAAGAAUGAAUGCUGGAGGAGCCUCCGGAACAGUGUCGGACCGAGAGAAAUAUGUAGGCGGGAGAUCUUCUGUUGCCUUCCUCCAGCAUGGACUUCCUGGUCCUCUUCUUGUUCUACCUGGCCUUCCUAUUGAUUGGCAUUGUCAUGAUCUGCAUCUUCACAAAGAGCCAGCGUUUGAAAGGCCUGGUCCUGGAAGGAGCACAGGUGUGCUCCUGCGUAAUCCCACAAUGUCUUCAGAGGGCCGGCCGGAGGCUUCUUCAUCAGCUCUUCCACACACGGUAUUUGUGGCUCAGGGUUUAAA
Microtus ochrogaster (prairie vole) is the source of this 479-nucleotide long non-coding RNA. RefSeq lists it as uncharacterized. The record is from RefSeq and is a predicted model, not a curated record. NCBI's taxonomy places the organism in Eukaryota, Metazoa, Chordata, Mammalia, Rodentia, Cricetidae. The transcript is spliced from 4 exons.